This 497-nucleotide ribosomal RNA is filed under the name uncultured bacterium. RNAcentral describes it as "partial 16S ribosomal RNA". It matches the Rfam family "Bacterial small subunit ribosomal RNA", at positions 28 to 507 of the family's 1533-position model. The record is from RNAcentral.
GAUGAACGCUGGCGGCGUGCCUAAUACAUGCAAGUCGAGCGAACAGACGAGGAGCUUGCUCCUCUGACGUUAGCGGCGGACGGGUGAGUAACACGUGGAUAACCUACCUAUAAGACUGGGAUAACUUCGGGAAACCGGAGCUAAUACCGGAUAAUAUAUUGAACCGCAUGGUUCAAUAGUGAAAGACGGUUUUGCUGUCACUUAUAGAUGGAUCCGCGCCGCAUUAGCUAGUUGGUAAGGUAACGGCUUACCAAGGCAACGAUGCGUAGCCGACCUGAGAGGGUGAUCGGCCACACUGGAACUGAGACACGGUCCAGACCCCUACGGGAGGCAGCAGUAGGGAAUCUUCCGCAAAGGGCGAAAGCUUGACGGAGCAACGCCGCGUGAGUGAUGAAGGUCUUCGGAUCGUAAAACUCUGUUAUUAGGGAAGAACAAAUGUGUAAGUAACUAUGCACGUCUUGACGGUACCUAAUCAGAAAGCCACGGCUAACUACGUG